RNAcentral lists this ribosomal RNA (420 nucleotides) under uncultured bacterium. Its description in RNAcentral is "bacterial SSU rRNA". It matches the Rfam family "Bacterial small subunit ribosomal RNA", at positions 29 to 492 of the family's 1533-position model. The record is from RNAcentral.
AACGAACGCUGGCGGCAUGCCUAACACAUGCAAGUCGAACGAGACCUUCGGGUCUAGUGGCGCACGGGUGCGUAACGCGUGGGAAUCUGCCCUUGGGUUCGGAAUAACAGUUAGAAAUGACUGCUAAUACCGGAUAAUGUCUUCGGACCAAAGAUUUAUCGCCCAGGGAUGAGCCCGCGUAGGAUUAGCUAGUUGGUGAGGUAAAGGCUCACCAAGGCGACGAUCCUUAGCUGGUCUGAGAGGAUGAUCAGCCACACUGGGACUGAGACACGGCCCAGACUCCUACGGGAGGCAGCAGUGGGGAAUAUUGGACAAUGGGCGAAAGCCUGAUCUAGCAAUGCCGCGUGAGUGAUGAAGGCCUAGGUUGUAAGACUCUUUUACCCGGGUACGUGAUAAUAGACAGUACCGGGAGGAAUAAGA